ACGGGAGGCAGCAGUGAGGAAUAUUGGUCAAUGGGCGAGAGCCUGANCCAGCCAUCCCGCGUGCAGGAAGAAUGCCNUAUGGGUUGUAAANUGCUUUUUCGCAUGAAGAACNCCCCUGANGUGUCAGGGGCUGACGGUAANGCGUGAAUAAGCACCGGCUAACUCCGUNCCAGCAGNCGCGGUAAUACGGAGGGNGCNANCGUUAUCCGGAUUUAUUGGGUUUAAAGGGUGCGUAGGCGGCUUUUUAAGUCAGNGGUGAAAUCCNGCAGNUCAANNGUAGAACAGCCAUUGAAACUGAAGAGCUUGAGUAAUNNUGAGGUAGGCGGAAUGUGUAGUGUAGCGGUGAAAUGCUUAGAUAUUACACAGAACACCGAUUGCGAAGGCAGCUUACUAAGGAUUUACUGACGCUGAUGCACGAAAGCGUGGGGAUCAAACAGGAUUAGAUACCCUGGUAGUCCACGCCGUAAACGAUGAUAACUCGCUGUUGGCGAUACACAGUCAGCGGCUUAGCGAAAGCG
This 518-nucleotide ribosomal RNA is filed under the name uncultured bacterium. Its description in RNAcentral is "partial 16S ribosomal RNA". It matches the Rfam family "Bacterial small subunit ribosomal RNA", at positions 341 to 859 of the family's 1533-position model. The record is from RNAcentral.